This 434-nucleotide ribosomal RNA is filed under the name uncultured bacterium. Its description in RNAcentral is "bacterial SSU rRNA". It matches the Rfam family "Bacterial small subunit ribosomal RNA", at positions 355 to 786 of the family's 1533-position model. The record is from RNAcentral.
UGAGGAAUAUUGGUCAAUGGGCGGAAGCCUGAACCAGCCAAGUCGCGUGAGGGAAGACGGCCCUACGGGUUGUAAACCUCUUUUGCCGGGGAGCAGAGAGGUCCACGUGUGGAUCUUGGGAGAGUACCCGGAGAAAAAGCAUCGGCUAACUCCGUGCCAGCAGCCGCGGUAAUACGGAGGAUGCGAGCGUUAUCCGGAUUUAUUGGGUUUAAAGGGUGCGUAGGCGGCAUCGCAAGUCAGCGGUAAAAUUACGGGGCUCAACCCCGCCGAGCCGUUGAAACUGCGGAGCUUGAGUGGGCGAGAAGUAUGCGGAAUGCGUGGUGUAGCGGUGAAAUGCAUAGAUAUCACGCAGAACCCCGAUUGCGAAGGCAGCAUACCGGCGCCCGACUGACGCUGAAGCACGAAAGCGUGGGUAUCGAACAGGAUUAGAUACC